CCUACGGGGCGCAGCAGUGGGGGAUAUUGCACAAUGGGGGAAACCCUGAUGCAGCGACGCCGCGUGAGUGAAGAAGUAAUUCGUUACGUAAAGCUCUAUCAGCAGGGAAGAAAAUGACGGUACCUGACUAAGAAGCCCCGGCUAACUACGUGCCAGCAGCCGCGGUAAUACGUAGGGGGCAAGCGUUAUCCGGAUUUACUGGGUGUAAAGGGAGCGUAGACGGCCAUUCAAGCCAGAUGUGAAAGCCCGGGGCUCAACCCCGGGACUGCAUUUGGAACUGUGUGGCUAGAGUGUCGGAGAGGCAG
Molecule: ribosomal RNA, 305 nt
Filed under: uncultured bacterium
Lineage: Bacteria
Description: bacterial SSU rRNA
Rfam family: Bacterial small subunit ribosomal RNA
Source: RNAcentral